This 440-nucleotide ribosomal RNA is filed under the name uncultured bacterium. Its description in RNAcentral is "partial 16S ribosomal RNA". It matches the Rfam family "Bacterial small subunit ribosomal RNA", at positions 338 to 795 of the family's 1533-position model. The record is from RNAcentral.
CCUACGGGUGGCAGCAGUGGGGAAUAUUGCACAAUGGGGGAAACCCUGAUGCAGCGACGCCGCGUGAGUGAAGAAGUAUUUCGGUAUGUAAAGCUCUAUCAGCAGGGAAGAAAAUGACGGUACCUGACUAAGAAGCCCCGGCUAACUACGUGCCAGCAGCCGCGGUAAUACGGAGGGGGCAAGCGUUAUCCGGAUUUACUGGGUGUAAAGGGAGCGUAGUCGGCCAAACAAGUCAGAAGUGAAAGCCCAGGGCUUAACCCGGGGACUGCAUUUAAAACUGCCGGGCUGGAGUGAAGGAGAGGUAAGCGGAAUUCCUAGUGUAGCGGUGAAAUGCGUAGAUAUUAGGAGGAACACCAGUGGCGAAGGCGGCUUACUGGACUGUAACUGACGUUGAGGCUCGAAAGCGUGGGGAGCAAACAGGAUUAGAUACCCGAGUAGUC